GAGGAAUAUUGGGCAAUGGGCGGGAGCCUGAACCAGCCAAGUCGCGUGAAGGAAGAAGGGUCUAUGGUUCGUAAACUUCUUUUGCAGGGGAAUAAAGUGCAGGGCGUGUCCUGUUUUGUAUGUACCCUGAGAAUAAGGAUCGGCUAACUCCGUGCCAGCAGCCGCGGUAAUACGGAGGAUCCGAGCGUUAUCCGGAUUUAUUGGGGUUAAAGGGUGCGUAGGUGGUUUGAUAAGUCAGCGGUGAAAGUUUGCAGCUUAACUGUAAAAAUGCCGUUGAAACUGUCGGACUUGAGUGUAAAUGAGGUAGGCGGAAUGCGUGGUGUAGCGGUGAAAUGCAUAGAUAUCACGCAGAACUCCGAUUGCGAAGGCAGCUUACUAAGCUACAACUGACACUGAAGCACGAAAGCGUGGGGAUCAAACA
Molecule: ribosomal RNA, 421 nt
Filed under: uncultured bacterium
Lineage: Bacteria
Description: bacterial SSU rRNA
Rfam family: Bacterial small subunit ribosomal RNA
Source: RNAcentral